RNAcentral lists this unclassified non-coding RNA (237 nucleotides) under Glomeraceae sp. RNAcentral describes it as "partial contains 5.8S ribosomal RNA and internal transcribed spacer 2". The stretch from base 1 to 71 matches the Rfam family "5.8S ribosomal RNA", at positions 84 to 154 of the family's 154-position model. Lineage: Eukaryota; Fungi; Glomeromycota; Glomeromycetes; Glomerales; Glomeraceae. The record is from RNAcentral.
GUGAAUCAUCAAAUCUUUGAACGCAAAUUGCACUCUCUGGUAUUCCGGAGAGUAUGCCUGUUUGAGGGUAAGAUUAAAUAAAAAUCGGUGUGGUUGCUGCCUUUCGUGGUGACGCACCGGAUUUGGGUCGUCUUGCCUUUGGUUAAGUGAUCUAAAAUUUUGCAUGAUUUUUUUGAACGUAUUUAAAUGUCUUUUCGUACGUUUGCGAUAUCGAAUACUAGGUGUGGUCAUGCCCAU